Heterocephalus glaber (naked mole-rat) is the source of this 1424-nucleotide non-coding RNA. NCBI's taxonomy places the organism in Eukaryota, Metazoa, Chordata, Mammalia, Rodentia, Bathyergidae. The record is from RefSeq and is a predicted model, not a curated record.
GUCUUUUUAAGACAGAACAGUAUUUUAAAUGUAUAUACCAAAGUUUGUCCAUUCAUCCAUCCACAGAGUCUUGGGUCAUUCCAGUUUUGGGCUCAUGUGAAAGUGUUACAAACAAGAGUGUACAAAUAUGUGUGUGAGUGUUGCCUUCACGUAUUUGGACAUACAGUGCACUCAGAAGAGGAAUUACUGGAUUACAUGCCAAUUCUAUGUUUAAUUUUUAAAGAAUUGCCAUGCUGUUUUCCAUAGCAACUGUACCACUGCACAUUCCUCCCAGCAGGGCAUAAGGAUUUCAGUUUCUCCACAUCUUCAGUAUUUCUACUUCCCAUUUAAAAAAAAUAGCCAUCCCAAUGGAGCCUGCAAUGUGCAGUCACCCCUGAGUGCAGCCUUUCUCCUUUAUGAUCACAGAGGAGGCCAGUUAGGGCUCAAUUCUCCUCUUGUCUCCUCUCCUCCCGUCUACCGGAAAGCAAAGACAAAAUAGUUGAGAAAUCCAUUCCGAUGCAAUUGUGCUGUUGCUGAUUAACUGGAACACCCAAGAGGCAUGGCACUGAUAAAACACCAGCUGGAGGUCAGGUCGGCAAACUGCAUCAUGGGGUGAAGGCCUCAUGAACCCUUCUGGCUUGGAGCUUGUUGUCACAGCUUAGCCUCUUGCCUGCCUCAUUUCCACCCCUGCCCUCCCCCAUGACAGCCUGGCAAUUCACAAAAGCAGGAAGAAAAGGUCUGUACUGCUGCCACAUUACCACCUUUCCUUGGGGGAAGGAAGAAGCAGGUGUGUGAAUCUCAAAGUGCUUUGAAGAGCUGCAGGUGGGCAUGGAGGAAGGAGUCUUAGAGGAGCAGCCACCGUAGGGGUUUUGUUCUGUGGAAUGAACAGUGAACCUUCCCUGGGGAAAGAGUUUUCUUUAGGGUGCUUCCAGGCUCCCUGACUUCCUAGCAGGGGUCCCUGGGCCCCAGGGUCCUGGUAUGAAGGCGGGGCACCUAAAGAUUGGCAGCUCUGCUGCUCAGGGCUUUGCUGACCUUGCUGCAGGCUUUGUCUGUGCCUGGUGCCCCAGUUCAUACUAACUGCUUCCUUGCCUUGGUGUCUGCCUGCUAAUCACAAACUGGGUACUGGCCCUGCUCAAAGCUUCCUUGCUGCCAAGGUUUAGCCCCAAGUCUUGCAAGCCAUGUUCUCUCAUUUCUUCAUUCUUGAAACUCAUUGUUGGUUCACCUACAAGAACCUCAGACUUUACAAACUGGCCUCCUCUUGCUCUCCAGGGUCUGUUGCCUGUUACAGAGCUGCUAGGUGAUGCCUGCACUCACUGGACUGUGAUCCACUGCUUGGCCCAUCCUGUGACUGAACUUCCUGAUGCUGACAGCCUGCCCUCACGUCUCCUUCCCUAGGCUGGGACCAACACUGAGCACCAGCCCCCACCCCCACCCCGCACUGGCGC